UUUGGCACCUCGAUGUCGGCUCAUCACAUCCUGGGGCUGAAGUAGGUCCCAAGGGUAUGGCUGUUCGCCAUUUAAAGUGGUACGCGAGCUGGGUUUAGAACGUCGUGAGACAGUUCGGUCCCUAUCUGCCGUGGGCGCUGGAGAACUGAGGGGGGCUGCUCCUAGUACGAGAGGACCGGAGUGGACGCAUCACUGGUGUUCGGGUUGUCAUGCCAAUGGCACUGCCCGGUAGCUAAAUGCGGAAGAGAUAAGUGCUGAAAGCAUCUAAGCACGAAACUUGCCCCGAGAUGAGUUCUCCCUGAGACUUAGAGUCUCCUGAAGGAACGUUGAAGACGACGACGUUGAUAGGCCGGGUGUGUAAGCGCAGCGAUGCGUUGAGCUAACCGGUACUAAUGAACCGUGAGGCUUAACCUUACAACGCCGAAG
Molecule: ribosomal RNA, 426 nt
Filed under: Salmonella enterica subsp. enterica
Lineage: Bacteria; Pseudomonadati; Pseudomonadota; Gammaproteobacteria; Enterobacterales; Enterobacteriaceae
Description: bacterial LSU rRNA
Rfam family: Bacterial large subunit ribosomal RNA
Source: RNAcentral